This 496-nucleotide ribosomal RNA is filed under the name uncultured bacterium. Its description in RNAcentral is "partial 16S ribosomal RNA". It matches the Rfam family "Bacterial small subunit ribosomal RNA", at positions 28 to 507 of the family's 1533-position model. The record is from RNAcentral.
GACGAACGCUGGCGGCGUGCCUAAUACAUGCAAGUCGAGCGCUGAAGGUUGGUACUUGUACCUACUGGAUGAGCAGCGAACGGGUGAGUAACGCGUGGGGAAUCUGCCUUUGAGCGGGGGACAACAUUUGGAAACGAAUGCUAAUACCGCAUAAAAACUUUAAACACAAGUUUUAAGUUUGAAAGAUGCAAUUGCAUCACUCAAAGAUGAUCCCGCGUUGUAUUAGCUAGUUGGUAAGGUAAAGGCUCACCAAGGCGAUGAUACAUAGCCGACCUGAGAGGGUGACCGGCAAAAUGGGACUUAGGCACGGCCCAAACCUCCUCGGGGAGGCAGCAGAAGGGAACCUUCGGCAAUGGCGGAAAGCCUAACGGAGAAAGGCGGCGUGAGGAAUGAAGGUUUCGGGACCGUAAACUCCUGUGGUAAGGGAAGAAGUUGGGUGGAAGGGAAAACGCAUGAAGUGACGGUAACUACCCAGAAAGGGACGGCUAACUACGUG